AGCAAUUACAAAGCGAAACUGCGAAUGGCUCAUUAUAUAAGUUAUCGUUUAUUUGAUAGUACCUUACUACAUGGAUAACCGUGGUAAUUCUAGAGCUAAUACAUGCUGAAAAUCCCGACUUCGGAAGGGAUGUAUUUAUUAGAUACAAAACCAAUGCCCUUCGGGGCUCUCUUGGUGAUUCAUGAUAACUUCUCGAAUCGCACGGCCCCGCGCCGGCGAUGGUUCAUUCAAAUUUCUUCCCUAUCAACUUUCGAUGCUACGGUAUUGUCCUAGCAUGGUUGCAACGGGUGACGGAGGGUUAGGGCUCGACCCCGGAGAAGGAGCCUGAGAAACGGCUACUACAUCCAAGGAAGGCAGCAGGCGCGCAAAUUACCCAAUCCCGACUCGGGGAGGUAGUGACGAUAAAUACCGAUACAGGGCUCUUUUGGGUCCUGUAAUUGGAAUGAGUACAAUUCAAAUCCCUUAACGAGGAACAAUUGGAGGGCAAGUCUGGUGCCAGCAGCCGCGGUAAUUCCAGCUCCAAUAGCGUAUAUUAAAGUUGUUGUGGUUAAAAAGCUCGCUAGUAGAAGCUCGGGCUCCGGCCGACCGGUCCGCCUCACCGCGUGCACUGGUUCGGCCGGGCCUUCACCUUCUGCGGAACCGCAUCUCCUUCACUGGGGGUGUCGGGGAAACAGGACGUUUACUGUGAAAAAAUUAGAGUGCUCCAGGCAGGCCUAUGCUCGAAUAGAUUAGCAUGGAAUAAUGGAAUAGGACGUGUGGUCUUAUUUCGUUGGUUUCUAGGACCGCCGUAAUGAUUAAUAGGGACAGUCGGGGGCAUCAGUAUUCAAUCGUCAGAGGUGAAAUUCUUGGAUCGAUUGAAGACUAACUACUGCGAAAGCAUUUGCCAAGGAUGUUUUCAUUUAUCAGGAACGAAAGUUAGGGGAUCGAAGACGAUCAGAUACCGUCGUAGUCUUAACCAUAAACUAUGCCGACUAGGGAUCGGACGGUGUUAUUUCUUGACCCGUUCGGCACCUUACGAGAAAUCAAAGUGCUUGGGCUCCAGGGGGAGUAUGGUCGCAAGGCUGAAACUUAAAGAAAUUGACGGAAGGGCACCACCAGGGGUGGAGCCUGCGGCUUAAUUUGACUCAACACGGGGAAACUCACCAGGUCCAGACACAACGAGGAUUGACAGAUUGAGAGCUCUUUCUUGAUUUUGUGGGUGGUGGUGCAUGGCCGUUCUUAGUUGGUGGAGUGAUUUGUCUGCUUAAUUGCGAUAACGAACGAGACCUUAACCUGCUAAAUAGUCCGUAUUACCCCGGUAGUACGCCGACUUCUUAGAGGGACUAUCGGCUCAAG
RNAcentral lists this ribosomal RNA (1335 nucleotides) under Plectosphaerella cucumerina. RNAcentral describes it as "SSU rRNA". It matches the Rfam family "Eukaryotic small subunit ribosomal RNA", at positions 68 to 1433 of the family's 1831-position model. The record is from RNAcentral. Lineage: Eukaryota; Fungi; Ascomycota; Sordariomycetes; Glomerellales; Plectosphaerellaceae.